AUUGAACGCUGGCGGCAUGCUUUACACAUGCAAGUCGAACGGUAACAGGCCGCAAGGUGCUGACGAGUGGCGAACGGGUGAGUAAUGCAUCGGAACGUGCCCAGUCGUGGGGGAUAACGCAGCGAAAGCUGCGCUAAUACCGCAUACGAUCUAUGGAUGAAAGCGGGGGACCGUAAGGCCUCGCGCGAUUGGAGCGGCCGAUGUCAGAUUAGGUAGUUGGUGGGGUAAAGGCUCACCAAGCCAACGAUCUGUAGCUGGUCUGAGAGGACGACCAGCCACACUGGGACUGAGACACGGCCCAGACUCCUACGGGAGGCAGCAGUGGGGAAUUUUGGACAAUGGGCGCAAGCCUGAUCCAGCAAUGCUGCGCGCAGGAAGAAGGCCUUCGGGUUGUAAACUGCUUUUGUACGGAACGAAACGGUCCUGGUUAAUACCCGGGGCUAAUGACGGUACCGUAAGAAUAAGCACCGGCUAACUACGUGCCAGCAGCCGCCGUAA
Molecule: ribosomal RNA, 498 nt
Filed under: uncultured bacterium
Lineage: Bacteria
Description: partial 16S ribosomal RNA
Rfam family: Bacterial small subunit ribosomal RNA
Source: RNAcentral